GGAUAUAUGGUGAGACGGUUUGG
Molecule: non-coding RNA, 23 nt
Filed under: Arabidopsis thaliana (thale cress)
Lineage: Eukaryota; Viridiplantae; Streptophyta; Magnoliopsida; Brassicales; Brassicaceae
Source: RNAcentral